UGCUUGCCCCAGUGUAUUUAUAGACAGCAACCGUUUCUCCUCUCAGCUUUCACUCUGUGGCCUAAAUGAGCUUUUUUAGCAGAUGACUACCUCGGGAGCGGAGAUGUGCAGACACAUCUCAGCUGGCCUGGCAGUGGCUGGCGCCUGUGGCAGCCCCAUGAAGAUCCUCAAGGCAACCUGGGCAAUGUCCCUGCCAAUGUGUCCUAAAUGGCAGCACAUGAGCAUGAUGAUGCCCAAGAGAUUGAGUCCUUGUGACACUGUGCUGGAAUCAAGCUGCCUCUGAACUACAUCCAAAAGGAUGACGAAAAAUUGCUAACAACUGAGGAAGGAGCCAUGCCGAUGCUUCAGAACCACACACAAUCCAUUGGCAGAGAAAGGCUGUGAAAAGGACCCAGCUGAGAGAGAAGCAUGAGGGUUGGGGAAGAGAGAUUGGACCAGGAAAGGGGAGAAGAAGGAGAGGUAGCGAGAACAAGGAGGGCAUCAAGAAGGAUCUUGUCUCUCACACCGUCCUUCAUGCCACGAGAUCCAAGCGGAUCCUGUGUCCAGUCCUGGCCAUUGUCAUAUGCUGAGCUGCUCACAGCCAGAUCUACACCAUGCUGUGAUAUGCCGGGAUACCAACAUACCAGAAACAACGAAGGGAAGAUUCUACCUACACAGAUGUGAAGGUGACCAGCUGAUGAUUGAGUGUUGCAGAGAUCUUUGGAGAACUGUGUGCAUUCGACUUGGAGAUGGAGGACUAAAUUCAGACCAUUUGUGUUCUUGGCAUGAUGCUCAUCCUUGUCGGCUCUGUGUUUGCUUUAGAAGUCUGACUGGCUGACAUGCUCCGGCCGCUGGCUAAUGUGGAUUAAUUCUGACUCUCUUCUGGCUUCAAGGAUGCAGAUUGUGAAGGGGGUUUCAUCACAAGGGGAAUUAAAGAAGCUAGCAAAGUAUCUUAACCCGAAGCACGUCACCCAUUGCUUUCAAUCAGGAAGGAGGACAGAUGAGAUUAACCUCAAAAACCCUUCGGCUUCCUUGUGGAGACUGUAAACCACAGUGCCAAGUGAGAGAAGAAUGCAGGAAGAGGAUCAUUUUUAUGUGGACAUGUAAGGAACUGGACUUAAACCACCAAGCCCAUUUCCACAUUGGCCACCAAAAAGUCAUCAGAGGGUGUUGACUUUUGACCACUACUGUUUUUGUUAACAGGGAAAAUAAAACCAUAUGUUGCC
Long non-coding RNA from Strigops habroptila (Kakapo), 1205 nucleotides. RefSeq lists it as uncharacterized. The record is from RefSeq and is a predicted model, not a curated record. The transcript is spliced from 4 exons. NCBI's taxonomy places the organism in Eukaryota, Metazoa, Chordata, Aves, Psittaciformes, Psittacidae.